GAUGAACGCUGGCGGCGUGCCUAAUACAUGCAAGUCGAGCGAACGGACGAGAAGCUUGCUUCUCUGAUGUUAGCGGCGGACGGGUGAGUAACACGUGGAUAACCUACCUAUAAGACUGGGAUAACUUCGGGAAACCGGAGCUAAUACCGGAUAAUAUUUUGAACCGCAUGGUUCAAAAGUGAAAGACGGUCUUGCUGUCACUUAUAGAUGGAUCCGCGCUGCAUUAGCUAGUUGGUAAGGUAACGGCUUACCAAGGCAACGAUGCAUAGCCGACCUGAGAGGGUGAUCCGGCCACACUGGGACCGAGACACGGCCCAG
Molecule: ribosomal RNA, 318 nt
Filed under: uncultured bacterium
Lineage: Bacteria
Description: bacterial SSU rRNA
Rfam family: Bacterial small subunit ribosomal RNA
Source: RNAcentral